GACGAACGCUGGCGGCGUGCUUAACACAUGCAAGUCGAACGGAAAGGCCCUGCUUUUGUGGGGUGCUCGAUUGGCGAACGGGUGAGUAACACGUGAGUAACCUGCCCUUGACUUUGGGAUAACUUCAGGAAACUGGGGCUAAUACCGGAUAGGAGCUCCUGCUGCAUGUUGGGGGUUGGAAAGUUUCGGCGGUUGGGGAUGGACUCGCGGCUUAUCAGCUUGUUGGUGGGGUAGUGGCUUACCAAGGCUUUGACGGGUAGCCGGCCUGAGAGGGUUACCGGCGACAUUGGGACUGAGAUACGGCCCAGACUGCUACGGGAGGCAGCAGUGGGGAAUAUUGCACAAUGGGCGGAAGCCUGAUGCAGCAACGCCGCGUGCGGGAUGACGGCCUUCGGGGUGUAAACCGCUUUCGCCUGUGACGAAGCGUGAGUGACGGUAAUGGGUAAAGAAGCACCGGCUAACUACGUG
This 468-nucleotide ribosomal RNA is filed under the name uncultured bacterium. RNAcentral's name for it is "partial 16S ribosomal RNA". It matches the Rfam family "Bacterial small subunit ribosomal RNA", at positions 28 to 507 of the family's 1533-position model. The record is from RNAcentral.